AGAACUUAGCAGAGAUGCCUUUUGGGUGCCUUUCGGGGAACUCUGAGACAGGUGCUGCAUGGCUGUCGUCAGCUCGUGUUGUGAAAUGUUGGGUUAAGUCCCGCAACGAGCGCAACCCUUUAUCCUUUUGUUGCCAGCGGUCCGGCCGGGAACUCAAAGGAGACUGCCAGUGAUAAACUGGAGGAAGGUGGGGAUGACGUCAAGUCAUCAUGGCCCUUACGAGUAGGGCUACACACGUGCUACAAUGGCGCAUACAAAGAGAAGCGACCUCGCGAGAGCAAGCGGACCUCAUAAAGUGCGUCGUAGUCCGGAUUGGAGUCUGCAACUCGACUCCAUGAAGUCGGAAUCGCUAGUAAUCGUAGAUCAGAAUGCUACGGUGAAUACGUUCCCGGGCCUUGUACACACCGCCCGUCACACCAUGGGAGUGGGUUGCAAAAGAAGUAGGUAGCUUAACCUUCGGGAGGGGCGCUUACCACUUUGUGAUUCAUGACUGGGGUGAAGUCGUAACAAGGUAAGCGUAGCGAG
RNAcentral lists this ribosomal RNA (525 nucleotides) under uncultured bacterium. RNAcentral's name for it is "bacterial SSU rRNA". It matches the Rfam family "Bacterial small subunit ribosomal RNA", at positions 992 to 1509 of the family's 1533-position model. The record is from RNAcentral.